UACCUGGUAGUAUAUCGGUUAGUAUACGAGCCUGUCAUUCAUUGGCUAGCUAGCGAGAAAGCUGGGUUCGACUCCCAGCCAGGGAG
Molecule: non-coding RNA, 86 nt
Organism: Paramarasmius palmivorus
Lineage: Eukaryota; Fungi; Basidiomycota; Agaricomycetes; Agaricales; Marasmiaceae
Source: the annotation of a GenBank genome assembly